Molecule: long non-coding RNA, 2163 nt
Organism: Oxyura jamaicensis (ruddy duck)
Lineage: Eukaryota; Metazoa; Chordata; Aves; Anseriformes; Anatidae
Exons: 4
Source: RefSeq, a predicted model, not a curated record
GCAGGGCUCUUAUCGAUAAUCCCUCGCUGCGCUCAGUAUUUGCUCGCAGGAGCUGCAGCAGGGAUCGGCACUCAGUUUUCCCAGGCACCGUGCUCACAGGCAGCACCGGAUCCCCCCCCCCCCCCUUUUUUUUGGAUCAAACUGCAACAGGAACUGCUGAAGUGUGUGGGAAAGGGGAGAAAGGGGCAAUUAAGGCAAGCUCCUGCCAUUGCCUACAUAGAUGGUUUGUCCUCUGAGACACCACCUCCUGAAGAAAACAGCACCAUUGGUUCAGAAGGCCCAAUGAGGCCCUCAAGCUAAAUACCAGGACUGCCAGACCCAGGGGAACCAUCUCACCCAGCACAACACUGGAAAACCAAGCCCUACCUGGGCAUUAUAUUAGGACUUCUCUAACAUCCAUAGGAAGGACACAUCCCAGUACUUCCAGUCUGCUUUCACACUGGCAUUACCACUCUCUACCCUGUGUUCGCAGAGAUUUUCUGUGGAUCCUGAGAGUCUGGCAGAAGAGGAUAGAGUGAAUUUCACAUUACGGAGUCACUAGGCAGUGCACGUGUGAGGGCACUGAAGAUACAAGGCAGUUCAAAGUUACUUAUUAUGCUUCUUUUUUCUUUACGCCAGAUUCGGAACUGCAAAUCUGGAGCCGUGGGCAGAUCCCAGCACUCAUUGCUAACACUGGACAGAAAUAAAACAGGAGUUCCUCCUGGAGGAAGAGAAGCCAUCCAUCUGUGCCCUGGGCUAAAGGCAGUGUUUGUAAGAAAUGGCCUUACCAGUUUAUCUUCCUUAUGUCCAUAUCACAACUCUCUCAAAUUAUUUUUCUGCUGCUAAAUCCCCCUGUGGUUCUGGGUCACUCACUGAAAGUCAAACCAAGAGCCUGCUUGUGGUAGAGCACAGGCAUGGGGAUUGUUUGCUUCCAGAGUACGGCAUCACUGCACCUAGGGCCUUGCGUGAUUAAUUGUGGGAAGUGGCAUCUUUGUACAAACACUUUUAAAGGAGAAUUUGAUUAAACUUAAAAGGUAUCUUCUAGGAAUAUUUGUACCAGAGAGCCUUGAUCAUGCAAGGAGGAGAGAGAACUAGCCAUGCAACAAAAGGAUAUUAGCUUAAAGAAGAACAUUUAAUUAACUGCUUUCCCCCCCCCCCCUCGGUUACAUUAAUAACAGCAUGACGAAGAUACUUGGUUUGAAUUUUUUAUUUUUAAAAGGCAGAACAUUAACAGCACAGCAUACUGAUCAGAGGUGUAAAGUUACUUUGACAUCAGAAGAGCUGUCCCUAAAGUUGCAUUGGAAAGGCCAAAAAUUAUAUUAAAUAGAUAGGAAUAAAGUUUUCAACAUAAGUGAAUUUUGGCAGUACUGACCUCAACUGUUUCUUCAAGAGAAACGGGACACAGGGCCCAUAAGAACAGCAAUUGGGUCCAAUGAUUUUUUUCUCCCAGUACAGGUAUAUUUCUAGAGUUCUUACGAGGUACCAAGUCGCAGGAAAGCCAGCUCUGUUAUCAGAGGCAUAUUUCAGCAAGCAACUAAAAUUUGGGACCCCCCUGAGGAUGUUUGUUUAGAAACUGUAGACGUUUCUAGCUCUAGCCCAGACUUCCCACUCUAUCUUGUGGCAGGACACAGAUUUAAUCCUCCUUCAGGAGGAAAGAACACAGGACAGGAGUACGGACCAAUAAAUUCAGUAGUGGUGGAGAUGGACAAGCCUUUGGGACGUGCCAGGCUGCAGUUUGGGUAAGCUUGACGUCCAUUAACUACUGAAAUUAAAAGAAAUAGAUUCCUCCAAGCCAAUCCUUCCUGUGAUGGAUCUAUUUCAUCUUAUGCAAAGAAAGAUGGAGAAGACAAAUUAAAUAAAUAAAUAAAUAAAAACAACCACCGGCACAAACAGUACAAAACCCAAAGCAUCAGAGAUCUGUGGAAGCAGUCACAAGGCUUGCUGAUGUUCCUGCGAACGCCCUUCCCAAGCCCUCCCUGCACCAGCCCGAGGCCCCAGAGCUGCUGCAUCCCAAUGGCAAGCAGCCCAGCUGCUGCAGGCUGCAGUCCAACGCAGAGCGAGGCAACCGGAGCAAGGCAAGGCUUCCCCAAAGCCAUUCCUCCACCCAGAGCAGCAAGUACAAAAUCCAGACCAGGGUGCCACUACAGAACUGCUUGGCCAAAGGCACCUUUCUCUUAGUCUCCC